This 546-nucleotide ribosomal RNA is filed under the name Fusarium oxysporum. Its description in RNAcentral is "eukaryotic LSU rRNA". The stretch from base 181 to 334 matches the Rfam family "5.8S ribosomal RNA". Lineage: Eukaryota; Fungi; Ascomycota; Sordariomycetes; Hypocreales; Nectriaceae. The record is from RNAcentral.
UUCCGUAGGGGGACCUGCGGAGGGAUCAUUACCGAGUUUACAACUCACCAAACCCCUGUGAACAUACCACUUGUUGCCUCGGCGGAUCAGCCCGCUCCCGGUAAAACGGGACGGCCCGCCAGAGGACCCCUAAACUCUGUUUCUAUAUGUAACUUCUGAGUAAAACCAUAAAUAAAUCAAAACUUUCAACAACGGAUCUCUUGGUUCUGGCAUCGAUGAAGAACGCAGCAAAAUGCGAUAAGUAAUGUGAAUUGCAGAAUUCAGUGAAUCAUCGAAUCUUUGAACGCACAUUGCGCCCGCCAGUAUUCUGGCGGGCAUGCCUGUUCGAGCGUCAUUUCAACCCUCAAGCACAGCUUGGUGUUGGGACUCGCGUUAAUUCGCGUUCCUCAAAUUGAUUGGCGGUCACGUCGAGCUUCCAUAGCGUAGUAGUAAAACCCUCGUUACUGGUAAUCGUCGCGGCCACGCCGUUAAACCCCAACUUCUGAAUGUUGACCUCGGAUCAGGUAGGAAUACCCGCUGAACUUAAGCAUAUCAAAAGCUGCUCCC